RNAcentral lists this ribosomal RNA (558 nucleotides) under uncultured bacterium. Its description in RNAcentral is "partial 16S ribosomal RNA". It matches the Rfam family "Bacterial small subunit ribosomal RNA", at positions 355 to 908 of the family's 1533-position model. The record is from RNAcentral.
UGGGGAAUUUUGACAAUGGGCGAAAGCCUGAUCCAGCAAUGCCGCGUGUGUGAAGAAGGCCUUCGGGUUGUAAAGCACUUUUGUCCGGAAAGAAAUCCUUGGCUCUAAUACAGUCGGGGGAUGACGGUACCGGAAGAAUAAGCACCGGCUAACUACGUGCCAGCAGCCGCGGUAAUACGUAGGGUGCAAGCGUUAAUCGGAAUUACUGGGCGUAAAGCGUGCGCAGGCGGUUUGCUAAGACCGAUGUGAAAUCCCCGGGCUCAACCUGGGAACUGCAUUGGUGACUGGCAGGCUAGAGUAUGGCAGAGGGGGGUAGAAUUCCACGUGUAGCAGUGAAAUGCGUAGAGAUGUGAGGAAUACCGAUGGCGAAGGCAGCCCCCUGGGCCAAUACUGACGCUCAUGCACGAAAGCGUGGGGAGCAAACAGGAUUAGAUACCCUGGUAGUCCACGCCCUAAACGAUGUCAACUAGUUGUUGGGGAUUCAUUUCCUUAGUAACGUAGCUAACGCGUGAAGUUGACCGCCUGGGGAGUACGGUCGCAAGAUUAAAACUCAAUGAA